RNAcentral lists this ribosomal RNA (274 nucleotides) under uncultured bacterium. RNAcentral's name for it is "partial 16S ribosomal RNA". It matches the Rfam family "Bacterial small subunit ribosomal RNA", at positions 523 to 796 of the family's 1533-position model. The record is from RNAcentral.
AUACGGAGGGUGCAAGCGUUGUUCGGAAUCACUGGGCGUAAAGCGCGCGCAGGCGGCUUGAUAAGUUGGAUGUGAAAGCCUACGGCUCAACCGUAGAACUGCAUCCAAAACUGUCAAGCUAGAGUCUGGGAGGGGAAGAUGGAAUUAGUUGUGUAGGGGUAAAAUCCGUAGAGAUAACUAGGAAUACCAAAAGCGAAGGCGAUCUUCUGGAACAGUACUGACGCUGAGGCGCGAAAGCGUGGGGAGCAAACAGGAUUAGAAACCCCUGUAGUCC